Molecule: long non-coding RNA, 1356 nt
Organism: Drosophila hydei
Lineage: Eukaryota; Metazoa; Arthropoda; Insecta; Diptera; Drosophilidae
Exons: 3
Source: RefSeq, a predicted model, not a curated record
CAGAGCAGGUCACUCAAUCAACAGUCGAAUUGUGGCUCCGAAUUGUGCUCAGAUAAGUCGUAUCGAUUCGACUUUUGAUUGAUAUAUAAGUUGCUUUUUAUACUAAACUGGCCAAAAGCGCACACGCGCUGCUGUGCUGUUUAUUUGAUUAGGGCACCGCAUAAAUCCUCGUAAAUGAAGUUGUUAAUUUGCAAUUUUUCAUGCCUACCGCAUGACAUUUAGCACGGCUACCCCCGAUCGCCCACGCCCGCCCGUGCAUCUGGCCAACAUGGUUAUCUUUUGCAUACGCCAGCCGUACAUCAAUGACACACAGGUGAGCAGACACUGCCGUAAAUAUCCACGAAGGCAGGCAAUAUGUUUACACGCACACGAUUUCAGCGCCUGAGCGGUUUUAGGUUUCCGCAUUUGGUCUUAGCUCUUGUGAUUUGGUACCGCAGCCGCCUCUGCGCUGCAGCCCAUUCAAUGGAUCAUAAAUUCUCCGAUGCGUCGUAAUUCUUCAACCGAGCUCUCCGAAACGGGGGCCGGAAGGAGCGACAGCAGCGCCAGGAGCUACAAGUUAUUCGGCUUAUUGGCGCUUAGCAGAAGCGAUUUGGCUAAUAGUUGGCAAAACUUUUGCAGUCUGCAGUAAAAGACAUUCAACUUCCACUGAGCUAAAUAUUGAAAUUGUCAAAACUUUGCAAGCUGCUUCAAUAUGCUACUGCUUACUCAACUCAACACGAGAAAAAAUAGCGAAAACUUAAAAGCUUCGGCAAUUAUAACACGGUUCAUCCAAGCGCAUAUUUCGAAACUCCUUUCGGACCAUGAAAAGUACAAGAUUUUAUUUGAUUUUUUUUUUGUGAAGGACUCCAAUAUGAUGGCUUGACUAAAUUAUGUGAUUUAUAUAGUAUUGUUUUGGGUCGCUUCCUUAACACAAAAAAAAAAAAAAUGGAAAGGAGUGAAGAAUGGAAAGUAAACCGAAAUUUAUGUGUUCGUCGCAACUUUUGCGAUUAGUUUUUAGUUGGUUGCGUGUUGCCAAGCUUAAUGUGCGGCAGCGUGUUAAUAAAUUUGCCGCAGGAGGAAUCCAUAACCAAAAACAGCUCGAGAAUAGUUAAAAUUUGCGUUGAAGGCGCUUAACUAAUUUGAAAUUAAUUAAGAGCCUGUCACGAGCAGAUGAAGGGUGAUGAGUGCCAGGGGCGUGGCACGGCACAUUCAGCGCGAAGCCAUAGCUAUUUUACACGCGCCACGUAUAUGUGUGUGUUAAGUAUACGCACUGUACGCCGUUGACGCCAUUGACGAUGGAAAGAAUUUCAUCUGCCGGAAAUUACCAGCGCAUAACAAUAACGAAAAUUUGAAAGAGAUAAAAGACGUACGUGGGCC